UGCAUACAUUGUUGUCACACAGAGUCUG
This 28-nucleotide non-coding RNA is filed under the name Homo sapiens (human). The record is from RNAcentral. Lineage: Eukaryota; Metazoa; Chordata; Mammalia; Primates; Hominidae.